AAGUCGUAACAAGGUCUCCGUAGGUGAACCUGCGGAGGGAUCAUUACUGAGUUACCACUCUUAACCCUGUUUACAUAUCUGUUGCUUCGGAGGCGCCCCUCGGGAGGGGAUCUGCUUCGGCCGCCUCCAAAAGCAUUUUUUAAACUUUUAAACUUUAUUAUACUCUGAAAAGAAAACAAAAAUCAAAACCUCAACAACGGAUCUCUUGGUUACA
Molecule: unclassified non-coding RNA, 214 nt
Filed under: fungal sp.
Lineage: Eukaryota; Fungi
Description: partial internal transcribed spacer region
Rfam family: Eukaryotic small subunit ribosomal RNA (bases 1-46)
Source: RNAcentral